This 614-nucleotide ribosomal RNA is filed under the name uncultured marine bacterium. RNAcentral's name for it is "bacterial SSU rRNA". It matches the Rfam family "Bacterial small subunit ribosomal RNA", at positions 879 to 1501 of the family's 1533-position model. The record is from RNAcentral.
AGUACGACCGCAAGGUUAAAACUCAAAUGAAUUGACGGGGACCCGCACAAGUAGUGGAGCAUGUGGUUUAAUUCGAAGAUACGCGCAGAACCUUAUCAACACUUGACAUGUUCGUCGCGACUCUAAGAGAUUAGAGUUUUCGGUUCGGCCGGACGAAACACAGGUGCUGCAUGGCUGUCGUCAGCUCGUGUCGUGAGAUGUUGGGUUAAGUCCCGCAACGAGCGCAACCCUCACUUUUAGUUGCCAUCAUUAAGUUGGGCACUCUGAAAGAACUGCCAGUGAUAAGCUGGAGGAAGGUGGGGAUGACGUCAAGUCCUCAUGGCCCUUACGUGUUGGGCUACACACGUGCUACAAUGGUAUCUACAACAGGAAGCAAGACUGCGAGGUCAAGCAAAUCCUUAAAAGAUACCUCAGUUCGGAUUGCACUCUGCAACUCGAGUGCAUGAAGCUGGAAUUACUAGUAAUCGUGGAUCAGCGUGCCACGGUGAAUGCGUUCCCGGGUCUUGUACACACCGCCCGUCACACCAUGGGAGUUGGUUCUACCUUAAGGCAAGGUUUAAAACCCUUGACCAUGGUAUAGUCAGCGACUGGGGUGAAGUCGUAACAAGGUAACC